Molecule: long non-coding RNA, 608 nt
Filed under: Anas platyrhynchos platyrhynchos (common mallard)
Lineage: Eukaryota; Metazoa; Chordata; Aves; Anseriformes; Anatidae
Description: lncRNA (ENSAPLG00000022003.1)
Source: RNAcentral
AAUAGAACUACUUUAUUUUACAAAUGACAUAACUAAUCAAAUUCUGAGGGGAAAAAAUCCAGACAGCCAACACAUAUUCAUUACCAUGAGUGUUGUGCAGGCUGCAUUUUUUUUCCUCACAAGAUUGAUUAAUUAAAUAUUUAUGAAAGAGAAACACCUGGCACACUUCCAUAAACAAAUAGGUCUCCUGUGGGUUUGCAACAGCUGAGGAGAGUUUGGAGGGACUACAGGGAUCUCAGAGUAAAGACUUCCUCACAGCUUGAGUUCUUGCACAUUGCUGUCUGUCAUAAAUAUGCACCAACACACAAAUAAUUUUUAUUUUGAAGACAGAAAGUGAAAUAUCAACAGAUGAAAUCCAAAAGGCAGCCAAAGAAAAAGCUGCUCUUCCAGAUGGAUCUGCUUUUUAGACACUUCCCUGACUCUUCAUCUUCAGUGGAAUGUUUUCACUGAAUAUGAAAGGAAGAAGGACUUCCAACAGUUGACAACCCUUCCCUCCCCCUACCUCCCACUUCUUUUUUUUUUAAGAAGUAAAAGGGACCUCACUUGAUAUGUUUGAGGACAUUGUCACUGGAGUGUAAAACAUUAAAGCUGGCUGAGCAAAGGGACAA